This 249-nucleotide ribosomal RNA is filed under the name uncultured bacterium. RNAcentral's name for it is "partial 16S ribosomal RNA". It matches the Rfam family "Bacterial small subunit ribosomal RNA", at positions 796 to 1041 of the family's 1533-position model. The record is from RNAcentral.
CUGGCCGUAAACGAUGGAUACUAGGUGUAGGAGGUAUCGACCCCUUCUGUGCCGGAGUUAACGCAAUAAGUAUCCCGCCUGGGGAGUACGGCCGCAAGGCUGAAACUCAAAGGAAUUGACGGGGGCCCGCACAAGCGGUGGAGUAUGUGGUUUAAUUCGACGCAACGCGAAGAACCUUACCAAGCCUUGACAUUGAUUGCUAAGGGUAGAGAUACCCUGUUCCUCUUCGGAGGACAAGAAAACAGGUGG